GCCUGGCUGGCUCAGUUGGUAGAGCAUGGGGCUCUUGAUCUCAGGGUCAUGGGGUCGAGCCCCACGUGUGGCA
RNAcentral lists this transfer RNA (73 nucleotides) under Canis lupus familiaris (dog). It matches the Rfam family "tRNA". Rfam says of the family: Transfer RNA (tRNA) molecules are approximately 80 nucleotides in length. Their secondary structure includes four short double-helical elements and three loops (D, anti-codon, and T loops). RNAcentral also lists the same sequence under 2 other names. The record is from Rfam by way of RNAcentral. Lineage: Eukaryota; Metazoa; Chordata; Mammalia; Carnivora; Canidae.